RNAcentral lists this transfer RNA (100 nucleotides) under Escovopsis weberi. It matches the Rfam family "tRNA". Rfam says of the family: Transfer RNA (tRNA) molecules are approximately 80 nucleotides in length. Their secondary structure includes four short double-helical elements and three loops (D, anti-codon, and T loops). The record is from Rfam by way of RNAcentral. Lineage: Eukaryota; Fungi; Ascomycota; Sordariomycetes; Hypocreales; Hypocreaceae.
GACACUUUGGCCGAGUGGUUAAGGCGAUGCCCUGCUAUCAAUCUGAUUUGCUAUCAAGGCAUUGUGUUCGCACGCGCAGGUUCGAAUCCUGCAGGUGUCG